UAAACAGCACUGAAAAAUGGCAGGAGGAUAACGUUUACUUUUGAAUCCCUGGCCCGCUGCCAGGCUGGCGCUGGUUUUUAGGUUAGCAGAGGUUGGAGGAAGGGCCAGACUGAGGCGGGGCUUGCUGCUGUCAAGGGGAAAAAAAAAAGGGGGGGGCCUGCAAAUUGCUGUUCUCAGCUUUUUUUCUCUCCUCUCUUCCACCCCCGCCCUCCCCCGAAAAAAGUCAGUGCUUUCUCUUAGGCUCUUAAAAAUGAUGCAGAAUUUUAACCAUCUGCUGUACCCGGAGCUCUUCGCUGGUGCUGCGCAGCUGAAUUUUUGCAAAGGGAAGAAAUUGCAAAGCUUUCCGAAAUAGAAAACCGUUUGUAAGCAUGUAAAAUAUUUUAGGGAAUCCUGUCUUUAAAGAAAGAUUCUAUUUAAUUGUGGACUCAGAAGUGGGUAUUAACAGAACUGAAACGUUUUUAGCCUAUUGUGGAUUUUUUGCUACAAGAGACACAGGUGUACUGCUACAUCACAGCUCUGCAAACAUAGCGUGAGCAAUCGGAGGCUUGGGAAGUGUACAGUGAUGGGAGCUGAUCAUUUUUGUAAAGCUGUGAUUUUUUAUUUUGAGACUCGCUCUGGAAGUGUAGAUGUAGCGGAAUGCAGCAGAGGCAUCCCUUUACCAGCUGCGUGUGUAUAUAUGAGAGUAAAAUUAUUUAAUGAGCAAUAUGGGGACUGGCAAAGGAACCAUGUAACUGCCACGGCCUCCUGAACUAUCAUAGUAUGUCUGGUGCACAAAGGGAGAUUAUUUCUAAAUAAUAAGGGAUGGGGAAAAGGCUUUUGAAGUGGUGAAGCUUAAAGGAGAAAGUAGAAGGAGUCUUUAAUGUGGAAUCCUUACUUCCCAUAAAUUAGAUUAACUGUUUAAAUGCCAUGAACAGCAAAUUAAAUAUUUCAGAUGUUCAUAAAUCAGAAUAUAAUGUUUGUCCGGAGUAAGAGCUAAGAAAAUUGGAGGUUAUUGGCUCAUAAUUCAUCUGCGUAUUUAAGAUCAAUUAGCAAGUUGUAGGAAAAAGAGAUUCCAGUGAAAUAUUUGAGGCAUGCAGUUCCUUUGAAAAUGCAGUUGGGAUUUUCUCUUUCAAGAUCUGUCAAUACCAGAUUGUUACCUCAAGUCACUAGUUAUUGUUUGUAACUGUAAGGACUGUAUUUUCUUUAAAUGAACCUCUACAAAUAAAUACUAAGAAGGGCAUUUACUUUCUGAAGCCAAUGUAGAGGCCUGGCUAAGUCUCUUCAUUAAAUUUUAAUUUAUUUAAAAAGGCUAUGUUACAAUGGAGAUGUCUCGUAAUCUACAUACAUUUUCUUAUUUUUAAAGCUGAAGACUGGGGCUGUAUUUUGUCACCUGUUGCCUACACAGGACAAAAGGGACCGGGAGAGGGGGGCGGGGGGGGGGGGGUGGGGCGGGAAGAAGAUUUACUGAUCGUGCAAGCUUUUGCAGGGAACUUAUUCAUCAUUUCAUUACCGAUUGGUAAAAACUAGCCGCUUUUUUCCCUCUGCUUUUAGGUGCCCCAGAAAAUUGUACAAUAUGUGUGCUUCAGACAGUGCCAGAGAAGCAUAAUGAGGUGUUUAGUCACAGUUUGGAUGUGGUAUUGGUAGAAAACAGUGCAGGAACUGUGGGCUGGAUUUUCAAGGGAAUAGUCCUUGUAAUCCAAGGCUGCCUAAAUCCCAAACUGGUAUCCAGGCAAUAGCGGCACUAAAUUCUCUGUUUGCUUUUUGUUAGGCUGUUGUCUGCUGAACAUUUUCCUUUUCUUGCAAGGACUGCUGUAUGGCUGGGCAUUUUGGUGGUAGGGUUUGUUGGUUUGGUUUAGGGUUUUGUUUUGUUUCUUCUGUUAACCCUUGGAUUUCUGUUCGCUCCCUUUAUUGCAGAGCAUCUCCGUAAAUAGGAAUGCAGACAGUCUGGAGGCCAGGCUUGGAAAGUAUUUAAUGGUCAGUGGAAAAAAAUGAGGAAGAGGAGGGUGUGGCUGCCACUGGGAGGCUCUGGCCCUGCAAAGGGUCCCUGGCUUGUGGAGAUGUGGUCCUUCAUCGGAAAAAAACGAAGACUUCUUUUAGGUCCAGCUCUGGCCCUUGGAAGGGCAUCGCUCACUGUGGAGCUGCUGCAGCACGCCUGAGGUCUGAGCCCGUGGAUUCAGCGUGGAGAGCCUUCAUCUCCAGCAGCCAGGUGGAGCAGACCGCUGGGAAAAGGGACUUCGGUGUGUGAUGGCAAGAUUCACCACCACUGUGUAUCGGUCUGGAUGUAGUCAACCUGUCAGGAGUGUGAAAUUUACAGCAGAAAUUAUUUUAACACUGGAAAAGCUCUUACUCAUCUGAAUCGUCAUUCAAAAUGCAUGAUGAAGGUCACCAAGCAAAAGUUUUCCAUCCCAUUGUCUGCAGGACUCCUGCAGGUCUUCUGAAACUUAAGCAUGUCUGUCUCAGGCUGCCGCUAAAAAGAAGAAGCAGUAAUCUGGCAAAAUGAACUCAGAACACAAAAAGAGGAGCCACUGGAGACUAAUCUGCAAGGUGUUCAGGUGUUGCUGUUGAGCAGAAAUUGGAAGCAAACUGUGGGGGUCAAUAGAUUAAGAAAAUAGUCCUGCUCAUCAUCACAGGAAACCAUAAACCUCAGCACUGUGGGACAGGAGUGACCAGCAGUGACCAGCUUUACUGCCUUAGGAGCAUCCCCAUUAGCUGUAUUUCUCAGAUAAGUUUCACUGAUAAACAUGCAAAUCAGAAUCUGUUAACCAUUGGCUGCUCCAGAUAUGGCAUGAAAACCAACAAAGGAGACUUGAUGUAGUAUGGCUCAAAACCAGAAGUAUUUUGAAGCAGAAAGAAUGACUUACUGGGGAACCAAGUUAGAAAAUGAAAGAAGUGAAGAUUGGUCAUCUCUGCAGAGGAAAUGACAAGAAGAAACUGUUGAUAUGUCUUCCUGACAGGUCUUUCUCAGAAGAAACAGCUGCAAAAUGUGGAAUCAGUUGUGUGAAAUUACUGCUGGCAAGGCCUUUGACCUUCGACUGCUGCUGGAUCCAGAUGAGUGAUCAAAGAGAGUACUUUUGCAGGAAAAUAUUGAAAUACUGUCCAGUGUGUUUGCUACCAAUGCUGUGGGAUAGAAAAGCAGGUACUUCUACAUGGCUCUUACUUUUUGUGUUGAUAAGGGGAAGGGAAUCAAUUAUUUCAGUUGCACCAAGUCUGCUUGCUGUAUUUCUGAGUUGACACUAGUAAUGUGCAUGUUUCUGUCUUCAGAGAAGGUGUAAUCUGCUCCUGGCAGGGCAGAUCUUAAAUUCUGAAAUCUGUCAUCCCUGAGCAGGCACAGAACAAUAGCUUACAUGAUAGCUAAGAUAGAAUUUAGUAGUUUUUAAAUAGGAGCUAAGAGGAACCAUAAGGCAGAUGAAUUUGGAGCUAAGAGGUUAUGUAUUUUUCAUAUGUGGGGAAUUGGAAUGGAGCUGUGCACAGGACAUGAAGAAAUUGAUUCUAAAGACCACCUACAAGAUUUUAGGUUUCAGCUUGUUACUCUUCAGAGAAAAUGUGUUGCAUAUUUUGACUCCCAAGAGGCUUCACAAUCAGAAAAUGUAAUACUGAGCUGUGUUUUUAAUACCAACUGACAAGGUACUCUUUCCCUGUGCUUUUCCUGGUUGCUCCUCGUAACAGUUCUCUUGUGACUUCCAUUUAUGUAAAAUUAGGGCCUGUAGCAACAGCAUCAUGAAUAAUGGACACAGAGAGUAGAACACACCGUGGAGCUCUGGCAAAGAUCUGCUCGCUCGCUACCACUGCUUCAGCCCAAUCAUGGAUGUUUAACCAGUGAAAGCUUUAGUCUCAGGUACAAAAACUUACACUAGAAUCCACCUGUGGAGAGCCCUGGUCACCUGAGAAAAGAGAAGGUUGUGUGGAGCUGAGCACAGGCAGUGCUGUGUGUCUGAGCCCCAAGCCCCGAGCCUGGAAUUCAGGUGGAAUUCUCUUGUUGCAGCGAGUGCCAUGCUCCAAAAGCCUUCUCCCCCUCAGCACACAGGCACAGCUGGGCAGAAGGGCCCUUGUGGUGAAAAUGGCAAUUUUCAGUGGUUCCCCCCUUGCUGUUUAAAGACUUGUGUAAAGCUGGGCUGGGUAAGGGUGUGCAUAAGCCUCUUGGCAGUGUUGUUGGAGUGCUCUGGAUGGAAAAUAACUGGUCAGAGCAGAGGCAAAGUCAUCGUGACAAAGCACAAGUGUAUGCUUCUGAAAUCAUAACACAAGUUGAGACGGGAUCCCAUCCCAGGGUGAUAACAAAGCUGUUAUAGUGCACAGGGGUCUGUGCUGGUGACCAAAGAAAAACAGUCACUAAAAGGAAACAGGGAACUCUGUAACUGGCAGUGUCAUUAACGGCAAAUUCCUGGAGGUCCCCUGAUAGGGACACAAAAAUGCCUAACAGGGUCAGUAACAAUACUUGCUCUUGCAAAUGGGCUUGUCUGAUCAGGUCUAUAUCCUCACACCCUCCCCGAGCCCCAAAAGUAACCAGAAACAAACUGCAGCCUGGGUUUGCAGUGCCUGUACAAAUGCUUUCUCCGUGUUAAUGCAUGUGGACUUCCGGGCCUCUGCUGGCUGACUGUCAGGUUGAACCAAGCCCACUGGCUCAACCCCAGACCCCAGAACAUUGUUCUGCAAUGGAAAUUAAUUUUAAGCUUCUAACAAUAUUUUAAAACAAAGAUACCACACAGAACAGUGAUUUCAUGCCAGUUUUCCAUAUAAUGUUAUUCACAAUUUCAAAAGCUGCAGGCUCUAAAGUGAUCAUCACAAAUGGAACAGUUUGUAAAGGAUGGAUUUUGCUUGUCUGCCAUCAUAUAAAGCUCCUUCUUCAUUAGCACUCAAGUAACUUUAUCAUGUUUGUGAUGAUGGCAAAUGUAAGGGUGCAUUGAUGUAAAUACAGAAUUUUAGGCUAAAUCCAUGUGACACUAGGUUAUUCGGAGCUUUGACCUACUCCUGGCUCCCAGACCACUAAUUCACCCACUCCUACUUGUCAGCUGCUUGAUCUCACUAAGGGCUAAAAUUUAAAAUGAAAGCCUUAUGGGAGAAAGGCCAGAAGCCAUUUUUCUACCAACUAUAAUUAUUGGCACGGCUGCAUUCUGCAAAAUGAAUUUUAGUUUCUUGUUGAGGCUUACCCUGACAGAUAUUCCCUCUUGGUGCUUAAUUAAGUUAGGACUUGCACAUACUAGUUUAUUGCAUGUCUUUUUAAAGAAAAACAAUUUCAGAGUGAAAAUCCAGUUUUCCCAAAAAGGAAUUAGUGGAUUGAGAUUGGGAAAGGCAUUUUUAAAGAAGAUGUGGCUCUAUUUAAUUUUCCCUAGCUUAUAUAAGGAACUGAAAAAAAUAGCACUUUCUCAGUGAUGUCACGUAGGUUAGGUGUGACACUGUAUGAAUUGCACAUAUUAAAAAGCCAAAUCCAGUUGACUUAAAAUUCAGAUGGCUUCAGAAAUUAAGAUUCUCUGUGUAGUAAAGGCAUUUUCCAUCCAAAAAGAAUUUAAAAUAUCACUCAAUUCCUUGUGAGAUGGCUGAGUAUUUAGCUGGAGAGACUGGAAGACUGUGAUCCUGACUGUGCUCUGCAUCAUUGAUUGUGCUCAGCUUUCAUUUUCACAGGGCUUGAGGGGAAGUGGGAAAGGUGCAGUUUUGGAGAGCUGGACAUCACAUAUCAAGUCAAAGAUGAGGGUGUUCAGUUUAAGAGUCCAGUUUUGUGUUCAGAGAUGUUAAAGCAAAUCCAGGUGAUAACCUGAGUUAGGUAAGCUCAGGUCUUUCAAAUAUAAGGUCCAUUGUUCAACAUCCUAAAACUAGUGAAUCUUUGUGGGGGUUGUCAUUAACAUUUCAUUUUUGUGUGAGUUGCAUGAAUACAAUCCUCCCAGGAGCGUGGAGAUAACUGAGGAAUGUUUAGGAAAUACUGUAAGAGAGGCAUUCUAUGCCCCUUUUACUGUCUCUAUGUUCCAAGAGAAAAUAAACCUGACACAUUCUCUUUCCUCUUUUCCUAAUAAAAAGUGAUCCCUAAUUUGUCACUGCUUCAUCUCCUCUUGCUGGGACCAUCUCCAAGGUAAUCCAGCCCUUGCACUUCUGCUUUUACACAUGAUAAGAUAGCAAGAGUACCUGUAACAUUUGUUUUUCCUAAGAUGUACCUCACCUGAUGGAUUUGCCAUUUCCACACAGGUUUCACCUCCCCUGGACUCUGGACUUGCCCUGAUUUCUGGGCUUUAGGAUCUGGUGGUGGUCAUCUCUGCCAUGGAGAGCUCAGGGAUACAGUGGGGGCAAGCACAGCAGCUUGGCUGGGAAGUCAGGAGAUGGAAAGAUUGUGCCAGGAGAACAGGAGAUUGAUCUGUCUCCACAUUAGUGAUGCCGAAAGCCAGGGCAGAUGGCUUCCAUCCCCCUGCAGUGUGACCAGCUGCCCUCAGGGUGAGAUUUGCCGAGUGAAACAACUCUCUUGAUCCAUGUGGGGCUGAUGGAUGCAGCAUUUAUUGUGUUCUUUAAUUAACUAGCAAAAGGUUAGUUCACUGAUUAAGGUAGGGUGUUUGUUUUAAAAGUUUGCUUAUUUAUUAAAGUAGUGUUUAUAUUAGAAUACAGACUGAUAUCUCAGUUAUUCCCACUUCUUUAGAUCUGCCCUGAAUGGGAAGUGUUGCUGUUCAUCAAACCAGGUGGCAGCGAAUAACAAGCCCCUCAAAUUCGAGUAUAAGUUUGAGGUUACAGAAGCUAAUGCUGUAGUGGCAUUUCUGCCAAUCCCCCUAACCGAGGUCUGUCUGGUACAGUGGCAUGUGUUUAAUUUGGUCAUCAGUUCAGGGCUGGGUUACUACUCAGUUAGGAGUGUUGCUGAGUAGGCCACAAUUCCUCACAGUCUUGACAAAAUCAUUGCUCAGUCUUUGGGGUUUACCUGUGUGGAACCUGGGAAAUUCACUUAGAGAACCUCAGCUCUUCCCCAUUAGGAUAAUGGGGGAGUAUCUGGAAGCAUGUUAAACAAUCCCUCUAAGUUAGCAUCCAUUCUAAGUCAUAGUGAUGCCUUUCCUGAAGUGACAAACUGGUUUGAUAAGGUACAGUCAUGUAGGAGCUGGAAGUACACAAGUGCAGUUAUUAAAAAUGAAUGCUGUAUCCUGUUUCCCUUGUGUAUCUUGUCACUGACGUGACUUCACAAGUUGCAAAUCUAUUAAACAUUUCAAACAUGAAACUGGAGCUCAUUAAGCAGAAUGUUGACUGGUAUAUAGCAAACUGUUUCAAAUUCAAGACUAUUAACAUUUGUCUCCCAAGUUUUUUGUCUUCUAGGUUGUCAUCAAGCAAUCCAGCUGCCUGGGAAUACAGCCUGUGCUUCCUGUGAUCAGAGUGUGACUGUCCUUUGGGGUGAGGUAGUAGGUUGUAUAGUUUUAGGGCUAUGCCCUGCCUGUCAGAUAACUAUACAAUCUACUGUCUUUCCUGAAGUGGCUGUGAUGUCAGCGCUGGAUGUCUCUGAAAGACAACGCAGAUAUUUUUCAACUGUACCAUUCUCUGGCUCUGUCUGCAUGUUUGGUUCUUGUACACAAAUGUCCUUGGAGUGUUUAGAUUCCUGUAUUUCCCAUUCAGGCUCAAAAGCCAUUUCCUUCUGGCAUUUUCUGAGAGCAGGUGGGGUGUGAGUGCCAGGACACAGAGGUACAACCCAGUCCGCAAUGGAUUUCCUCACGCGCAGCUGUCUGGGACUGCCAUGGGAGUGGCCACUUGGAAACAGCUGAUCCAUUUCUCCACUGUUUUCUGGCAUUUGUCUUCAUGUUAAACAUCAAAUGGCACUUUUGAUUCAGCAGCUGUCUAAAUCCACUUGGUGUAGGCUGUUUGAGAAACUACAAAGGGAUGAGCUGGACAAAGCCCAAAGAGGAUGUCUUCCAGUCAGUCGUGUUUUGCCCUGGAACUGGUAAAUGCUUGAACCCUAAGUAAGAGGUCUCUUUAAUCAGUUUUGGAUGCUGAUCUAACUUACUUUUUUAUUACAUAUUGCUAGUUUGGGAGGGACAGUGUUUGCCACUGCAGUUCUCCUGUCUCUGAAGUCCCUCCACCAGUUCUGUCUGACUCCCAGGUAGGGCUGUGGGGAAGGGCUGAGAGGUCACACAUGGCCUUUCUAAGGCUAAGAAAUGUGUGGGCUGGAGAGUGAUAAGGUAAUUUACUUACAAAUGGUGAAAUGUUUCCUUCAGAAGAUGCACGUGAUGCUCUAACAGGAUGAGGUAGUAGGUUGUGUGGUUUCAGGGUAGUGAUUUUGCCCCAAUCAGGAGAUAACUAUACAACCUACUGCCUUCCCUGAUAGGCAGCAUAACAUCAGUGUCCUAAUUCACAGAGAAACAAGAGCUAAAAUACACUCCUGAUAUACUUCUGAGACCAGCAAAGUAAGUCUAGAUACAAUUGUCGCUAUCCUGUCCCUAAUAGCUCUAAAUUUAUAUUUUUAGUGUAGAUUUUUGAUAAGCGCCUGCAAAAUAAUUAUUCUUUUUUAAGUCUUUAUCAUGAAAAAGUUAAUUAAAGAAGUUUUAUUUAUUUCAAA
Molecule: long non-coding RNA, 8482 nt
Organism: Corvus hawaiiensis (hawaiian crow)
Lineage: Eukaryota; Metazoa; Chordata; Aves; Passeriformes; Corvidae
Exons: 11
Source: RefSeq, a predicted model, not a curated record